This 667-nucleotide long non-coding RNA is filed under the name Monodelphis domestica (gray short-tailed opossum). Its description in RNAcentral is "lncRNA (ENSMODG00000032771.2)". Lineage: Eukaryota; Metazoa; Chordata; Mammalia; Didelphimorphia; Didelphidae. The record is from RNAcentral.
GGCUUCCUAUGUGUUGUUAGAUUCCAUGGAAACAUGUAUGCUGAGAAUGAAACUGUGUGCCAAGAAGAUGUGUGAUCAUGAGGGUAUAAAAUAAAGCCAGACCUCAGCCAAGGUGGAGCAGUUUGUCCUGUGAAACUAUGCUGUGGAUUGAAUUAAAAAACUGUGUCCCAUCCAUCAUUCCACUGACACCGUCCGACCUCCAAGACCCCAUCCCCUGUGGAGGCUGGCCCACUCCAUAGCAGAAACCCAAACCAGAAACUUCCAGGUAAACAAGGCAGCAGUCUAGAUGCAGGAUUCUUCCUCUCCUCAGCACCUAUGGAUAUCAACUACCUCAAAAGAUAAAAAAAAAAAUUCAUAUGAACAAAGGGACUCUACAGUAGGGCACAGCAUUGAAGAGUUCCAGUUUGGGUUCAGUCUGUCUUUCCCUCCUGAUGCAGAUGCUACCUCCAACCAUUGCUGUCUUGGGAACAAGGCCAAGAUGCAAGUGAAGACCCCACAUCAUCAAUAGGUGACUCUUAACUAAGGGAUAACUACAUAGAUUAUAAUAUAUAAAUGUAAUGGGAUAGUAUCCAUUUCUUAAUAUUAAUUAUCAUAGUUAAUACAGAAACACAUAGAAAAACAUGUGUGAACUAAUGUAAAGUAAAAUAAACAGAACCAAAAAAAAACA